Molecule: long non-coding RNA, 4708 nt
Organism: Dermacentor silvarum
Lineage: Eukaryota; Metazoa; Arthropoda; Arachnida; Ixodida; Ixodidae
Exons: 5
Source: RefSeq, a predicted model, not a curated record
AAGCCACUAUCUAUCGCGGCUCACCCUCGAACACUUCCUCUCACGCGCACAGUCAACGGCGCGGGAUAGCAUCUUAUCGCACUUGGACUUCAUACGUAAGCUCACGGCAACGCCAACAGAUAAAUUUCACCGGUUGUGUCCAUAUAAUCACUAUCACAAAUAAACGGGAAUAGUUCUACCUUGUUUAAAUUCAUGGCUCUUUCAUUCGUGAACAUUAUUUACGUGAAGCAAAAUUAUCAGUGAGCAAAACAAUUUUUUUUUCAGCGCGAGGGAAGAAAACCGAAACUAGUUUAUGAUUUGUGCGGCCCCAAAGUGAUCCAAAGUCGAAGCCAUCAAAAGCACGACGCCAUUUUGUAGUUGUGUUGCAACAUGCAUGCGCGAGCUCGCUGUCGUUGUUGAACGGCCCUGAAAGCGCUGCGUUAGGGGCGAGUGCAACCGAACAUUACGGCAAGUUACGAUGGGAACUUCUUUCCGUGCUACGUGAUUGCGACGACAAGAACGGCCAGCAGUAGCGUGUCGCCGAUUUCGUCUUUGCCGACAUCGAACAAGUACAGCUCGCCGGACCGUGGCAAGCACCCGAAGUGUUGCGGUCUGCACUGCGUCGUCUUUCAUUGUGAUGUGAGAGAUCGUAACGCACAGAGACUGCCGGAUGCAUACGAAAGCCUACCAGCAGGGAGUGACUGUGCCAUUUUUCUCUUAACGUCUCAGGUAUUGAAGAAGCGGCAACAGCCACAGGAAGUAGCCAUCUUAUCCAGCACGUUAUGGGUAGAACUUGGCGGCUCCUGCUCCUGCCUUCCACCACCACCCUGUCCCGACUGCUUCCACUAGAGAGUUGGCAACCUUAGUGAUGAUGCCAAGCAGUCCAAUGGCAGACGGCAAGAUGCAGGUUGCUGCGAAAUUUUACCCGAGCUGGGCCACACACUUGAGCCAGGCCUCUUGGAAAGGAUGCCAUAAUCAGACUCCACGCGUCUAUGUCAGAGGAUGCCAGGGAUCAAGGCAACCUGUUGUGCCCCACUAUUCAAUGUUUGGUGACCCUUCUAUGUGUUUCACCUAUUUCGCAGCUGUACCUCGGCUGCCAUCUAUCCAAACAGCAUCGCCAGCUGUGCCCACUUAAUGAACCAUGGGCAAAUAUUGGCAUGGAGUGUUCCCUGGGCUUCAUGUUCUAUUUGCUCUUUAGGAUUCUUGGCAAAUACUCCUGUUAUAAGUUACAUGUUUUUAGUACCGACUUUUUAAUAUUUCCUUUCUCUUGGAAUUCUUAACAUCUCCUGCUAUUAUAUCUGUAUGUAUGCCCAGUUUCUCGUAGUUAUUUUGUACUUGUGUAUGUAAUUGAUAGGUUCUUAACUCUUCUAAUGCGUAAGGCUAAACGCUGACUUACAUCAUGUUUUGUUCAUUUAUUAAUCUGCAGCGCUGUAAAACAUUCAAGAAUUUUAACUCAACUAGUGCCCCAUAGCAGGAUAAGUUCAAGAGCAAAAUUGAGCACCUAUUUCAAGCACCCGUUAUUUUUUAAAAAGGAAAGAACGCAGGAGCGUGAAAAAAACAGUAUUAUAGUAGGAAAACCUGGCUGCCCAUCAUAAGUGUGUUAAUAAUGUGACUUCCUUUCAGUGCAAUGAUACCAGUGGCACUGGUGGACAACGUUUGAGACAUGAAACCCAUGAUACCCUUGGCAUUUGUCAGUGUGGCAAAUAGGCUUGCCACACUUACGAAUGCCAACGGUACUGUAGGUUUCAUGCACACAUUAGUUGUGUUACACCUUAUGAGAAUUGCAUGUCUCGAACAUGAAGGUUUACAGCAGUGCUUUGAAUGACCACUAUAUUUCCUAAUUUUCAGUAUUUAUGAAUGCAAGAGUAAUGGUACAGAUCAUGUAAAAAUUAUUUUACAGGCUAUAUGCCUAUAGAUACACGCUUCUGAUGACACAGCACCGACAUGUGGUGGCAGGAUGUAUGUCUUUAUUUCAGAUUUAAAUAUUGCCUUCCAGGCCUGGGUUAGUCUACUACAUUGAGAGCCCAUGCACUAGAGGGAAGUGAAUUAAACUAAGAAUGAUAAACAUCAAAAUAUCUUGUUCGUGGCACUAAUUUGAGAAUCAGCAAGGUUCCUUCUGCAUUCAUUUCUAAAUUUGUGAUAUAUUUUAUAUGACUGGUUUCAUUAAUGUGAGAACAAAUAUUUGUUUAUUGUCAACACAGUUGAUGUCGCCCAUUUGCACACCAUUCCUUUACAGGCUAAAAAUUUAAUGUAAUAAUGGGGUGUUUAAGGUUUUGCGCACUCAGUGUUAAGGGACGCAAAUGGUGGCAUACAACAGAAUGCACGAAAGAACAAAAACAUGCAAGUAGGACAUGGGGCUUUGGGGCACAUGCUUUGGUGUGCUAUUUCUAAAACUCCCUGUGGUCUGCCUGAAUGCAUUGUCUAAUGCUUUGGUAGAAUACAUUGGGAGCCACUUAUUCAGGCGAAAUGCUUCUCGAAACAACUUUUUAAAAUUAUUUCAGUGAGAGAUUUGAAAAAAUCCUGCUGCAUAUAGUUUUAUAUGCAGAUUUUAAAUGUCAGUGGUUUUUGUGUAGCUUCUAUAUUUUUUUAGUUAUGUCCUACACAGUGGCAAAGUAUCUGCGGGCACUUUAAUGUAUAUAACAGUUUCACAAGAAUGAUCGUGCUGUAUCUUAUUCAGCUCGUAGACCGUAAAGUGCCGAUAUCUAUCCAAACACCAUGUAAAAUUACUGAAACUAUGCAAAAAAUAGGACACCUUAAAUUAUUUUGAAAGAUAUUGCAAUUUCAAGUAGAUAUUAGCAAUCUACAUACUUUGAAGAGUAUGUAAGCCAAAUCUCGUUAGUAUCGGACAAUUGUAAGUGCACAAAGUUAUUUGCAUGGGAUUGUGAAAAAAUUAUUAAAGUGUACUGAGCUUUACUUGCAUAGUCCCACUAAGUUUACAUGUUUCGAUAGAUAUCGGCACUUUGUCAUCUACAAAGAGCUAAGUUAGCACAAUGCUUUUUGUGAAAAUUUAAUACAGAAGAAACUGCCCGCAAAGAUCACUAUACAUUGUGCCAUUGUUUAAGACAUAACUGAAGAAAUGUAGCAGCUAAACAAAAAUAACAUAUAUGAAAUCAGCUUGAAGAACCCUCUAAUUGGCUUAAUUUUCAAACCUCUAGUACAAAAAAUAAAAGAAAAUCAUUUUGAGUAGCAUUUCCCUUGAACACAAGAUUUAAUAAACAAAACGUGUCCCUUGCUAUAGUCGCCUUUAACAUAGUGACACAACUUCUAUAUAAUCACAAGAACUUUAUAUGAGUGACAUGCAAAUGGGUGGCCCUAAUGUAACUUAAUGCAUUUACCGAGAGUAAAUUACAGUCGUUACCUAAUCUGCUCUUAGGAUGACUUGUGAUGAGUAAAAGAAGCCUUCCUCAUGUCUCUACUUUCUGCAUGUGUCUUUCAGCUUUUUCUGUAUGUGUCUUUUACAGCUGCAUGUGUGCAGCUGAGUUCAGUUUAGUUACCACCUGGUCUGCUUCCUUCCUUGUCCUCAUGAUUCAUGCGCUAUCUUUGUCAUGCAAAAUACAGCUACCUGUGCUACAUAUUUUGCCAGCAUGAUUGAUUUAUGGCAAGUCUUGUAUUAGUGCUUAUUGCAAUCAGUGAAAUUGUUGGUGUCCUAAAAAACCAUGUUUAGGUCAACUUCAAUAAAAUGUUUAGCUUAAAUAUUGCUGUAUGUUUUUGUAAUAUUGUAAGUUUUCAAGUUUGUAUGCACUGUUGCAGAUUGUAUGAAAGAAUAAAAUUGAUCCACAACUUUUUAAUAUGGUGUUUUUCAGAUCAAUUUUCAACUCAAGCUAAGAAACAUGCAUGAGUUGUGUGGGAAAAGUGCCAACAAGAGUACCAUAAGAAGGCGGGAUCAAAUCCCGGCCGCGGUGGCCGCAUUUCGAUGGAGGCGAAAUGCAAAAACGCCCGUGUGCUUGCGUCGUAGUGCACGUUAAAGAACCCCAGGUGGUCAAAAUUAAUCCGGAGCCCUCCACUACGGCGUGCCUCAUAAUCAGAACUGGUUUUGGCACAUAAAACCCCAAAAAGAAGACACUUCCAGAAGACAAUAACAAAAUGAUGGAAUAAUCACUUUUUGUUGCUAACCUGCCUUGUGCUUAGCUAUGGAUUCAUUAUUAUUCUAUGUUGUCUUUUCACGAUAGUCACUUUGCACUGUCGGCAAAAGUUUGUGACUCAUUUUGAAAAGCGGCUCGACACUGCCAGCAGAGAGUCGAAUGACUUACAUGGAUUGCUUAGUUUACUCUAUUUGCAAGACUCCUGCACCACGCACUAGGGGUAUCGCGACACAUACUAAUGGAGUCAUCAGACUCGUCAAGAAUAGUUACCUGACUCCUUCAACAGUGGUCAUGUGACCCUUUAUCUUGAGUCGUCUGACUCACCUAGAAUAGUUAACAGACUCCCUCAGGAGUAGUCAUGUGACCCUUUAGCUUGAGUCGUCUGACUCACCUAGAAUAGUUAACAGACUCCCUCAGCAGUAGUCAUGUGACCCUCUAUAUUGAGUCGUCUGACUCAUCUAGGAGAGUUAACAGACUCCCUCAGCAGUAGUCUUGUAACCCUCUUGAGAGGGUCCAGGAGACUACUAGAAAAGAGUGUGCAAGACUACUGCGUGAGGAGUUAAGUAACCAUUUUGUAUACAUCACAGAUAGUCUUCGGACUCUCUGGCGAAAGGGAGUUCGGGUGUCUCCCCCAAAGUGUGUCAUAU